AGAGUUUGAUCAUGGCUCAGAUUGAACGCUGGCGGCAUGCCUUACACAUGCAAGUCGAACGGCAGCACGGGAGCUUGCUCCUGGUGGCGAGUGGCGAACGGGUGAGUAAUACAUCGGAACGUACCCUGAAGUGGGGGAUAACGUAGCGAAAGUUACGCUAAUACCGCAUAUUCUGUGAGCAGGAAAGAGGGGGGUCGCAAGACCUCUUGCUUUAGGAGCGGCCGAUGUCGGAUUAGCUAGUUGGUGAGGUAAAGGCUCACCAAGGCGACGAUCCGUAGCGGGUCUGAGAGGAUGAUCCGCCACACUGGGACUGAGACACGGCCCAGACUCCUACGGGAGGCAGCAGUGGGGAAUUUUGGACAAUGGGCGCAAGCCUGAUCCAGCCAUGCCGCGUGAGUGAAGAAGGCCUUCGGGUUGUAAAGCUCUUUCGGUGGGGAAGAAAUUGCUUCGGUUAAUACCUGGAGUAGAUGACGGUACCCGCAUAAGAAGCACCGGCUAACUACGUG
This 506-nucleotide ribosomal RNA is filed under the name uncultured bacterium. RNAcentral describes it as "bacterial SSU rRNA". It matches the Rfam family "Bacterial small subunit ribosomal RNA", at positions 8 to 507 of the family's 1533-position model. The record is from RNAcentral.